GCGCCCGUAGCUCAGCUGGAUAGAGCGCCGGACUUCGAAUCCGUAGGUCGCAGGUUCGAAUCCUGCCGGGCGCGCCA
RNAcentral lists this transfer RNA (77 nucleotides) under Desulfosarcina widdelii. RNAcentral's name for it is "tRNA-Arg". It matches the Rfam family "tRNA". Rfam says of the family: Transfer RNA (tRNA) molecules are approximately 80 nucleotides in length. The record is from RNAcentral. RNAcentral also lists the same sequence under 9 other names. Lineage: Bacteria; Pseudomonadati; Thermodesulfobacteriota; Desulfobacteria; Desulfobacterales; Desulfosarcinaceae.